Molecule: long non-coding RNA, 1204 nt
Organism: Mus musculus (house mouse)
Lineage: Eukaryota; Metazoa; Chordata; Mammalia; Rodentia; Muridae
Product: predicted gene, 38535
Exons: 3
Source: RefSeq, a predicted model, not a curated record
CUCUAAGCAUGGCCAGUAACUCAUAGCCUUAAAUAAAAGGCUGUUGUAAACAAGUCUACUUUCUGUGGGCGCCCUGUCUUCCGGCUGGCAGUUCUAAGCUCUCCGCUUCUGCCAGGGCGUUGGGCUCCUAUUUCUAGAAACCGGAUAAGAGGACUCUAGAAGGAAAACCUUUGAGACAAACUCUGGCAAGAGAUCUCAGUCUUCAGGAGGGAAGGGACUUGCGGCGUUGACAAGAUUAAAGGGAUCUUCAGAUCACCAAGUGCACCAGCUGCUGUCUGGAGGCUGAAUUUAGCAAAUGGCCAAGUGCUUGUUAUAUCAAUAUAGAACAUGCACGUAUGUAUUUGAUAAAAAUGACAAUCAUUUCAAGAUAAUACUGACUAUAUCAUACCCUUCAAUAGAGCUUGCCUACAUGCAUAUCUGUGUACCACAUGUGUAUGGGUGCCCACAAAAGCUAGAUGAGGGUGUGCAAUCCCCUCAAGCUGGAGUGACAGGUAGUUAUGAGGGCUCUCAUGUGGGCACUAGGAACUGGACCUGAGUUCUCUGCAAAAGCAGCCAGUGCUCUUAACCAUUGAGACAUUUCUCCAGCUACCAAUAUAUUUGUAUUUACAAGGAGCAUAAUAAUAGGAUAGGGGGGAUUUAUUUAUUUAUUUUUAAAUUUCAGAUGAAAUUUACUUAAAGACUUGUAGAUACUAAUGUGAGCCAUCUGAUGCUUCAGAACCACUCCGUCAACAGUAGAUGCUUAAUAAAUGUCCAUGAAUGCCAGAGUGACAACUGUACUGGAAGCACACCAUCACCAGGCUAUCCUGGAUAAUUAAGCUCAUAUCCAGGGUGAUGGCUCUGAAGGAAAUGGAAUCUCUUUGGGUUGCAAAGGGAGUAGCAAGGCCAUUCGAGGCAGACUGUUUCAAAACAACUGAUCCUUCUCAUAAAACCACGGAGCAGAAAUCCACGAGGAUUACACAUCCAGAAGAAAACACAAAUCAACUUUAUCCUUUUUCAUUAGUUACAACUUUUUAAGACCAGUUUUUACUGUUUUUUGAAACAAUAACAUAUACUUAUUACAAAGCCUCCAAAUGGCAGAGGAAAGAGAGAAACCCAAUUAGGCAUUUCACCACGCAGGCACAAACACGUCGAUCGUCUCUGUUACUGGUUACCAGGUUUUUUUGUUUUGUUUUGUUUUGGUUUUGGUUUUGGUUUUUUGGCUUUU